This 484-nucleotide ribosomal RNA is filed under the name uncultured bacterium. RNAcentral describes it as "partial 16S ribosomal RNA". It matches the Rfam family "Bacterial small subunit ribosomal RNA", at positions 30 to 507 of the family's 1533-position model. The record is from RNAcentral.
AUUGAACGCUGGCGGCAGGCCUAACACAUGCAAGUCGAGCGGAUGAAGGGAGCUUGCUCCUGGAUUCAGCGGCGGACGGGUGAGUAAUGCCUAGGAAUCUGCCUGGUAGUGGGGGAUAACGUCCGGAAACGGGCGCUAAUACCGCAUACGUCCUGAGGGAGAAAGUGGGGGAUCUUCGGACUUCACGCUAUCAGAUGAGCCUAGGUCGGAUUAGCUAGUUGGUGGGGUAAAGGCCUACCAAGGCGACGAUCCGUAACUGGUCUGAGAGGAUGAUCAGUCACACUGAAACUGAGACACGGUCCAGACUCCUACGGGAGGCAGCAGUGGGGAAUAUUGGACAAUGGGCGAAAGCCUGAUCCAGCCAUGCCGCGUGUGUGAAGAAGGUCUUCGGAUUGUAAAGCACUUUAAGUUGGGAGGAAGGGCAGUAAGUUAAUACCUUGCUGUUUUGACGUUACCAACAGAAUAAGCACCGGCUAACUUCGUG